RNAcentral lists this ribosomal RNA (253 nucleotides) under uncultured bacterium. Its description in RNAcentral is "partial 16S ribosomal RNA". It matches the Rfam family "Bacterial small subunit ribosomal RNA", at positions 524 to 776 of the family's 1533-position model. The record is from RNAcentral.
UACAGAGGUCCCGAGCGUUGUUCGGAUUCAUUGGGCGUAAAGGGUGCGUAGGUGGCGCCGUAAGUGGGGUGUGAAAUCCCGGGGCUUAACCCCGGGACUGCAUUCCAUACUGCGGUGCUUGAGGACUGGAGAGGAGACUGGAAUUUACGGUGUAGCAGUGAAAUGCGUAGAGAUCGUAAGGAAGACCAGUGGCGAAGGCGGGUCUCUGGACAGUUCCUGACACUGAGGCACGAAAGCUAGGGGAGCAAACGGG